GACGUAUCAGUAGAGUUCUGAUAUUUUAUUUGCCUAUGGUUUUUAAACUUUAUACCUUUAGCGGAGUGGACAAUUUUUUAUUUAGCUCGUGCCUCAUCAAUUGUAGGUCAAAUUUUUGAAUUCCUUGUCAAAAUCGAGGCCGUCAUAGGUUCAUCUGGAGGAAAAGGAUAUUUUGCAUCCUCUGACAUGAUAGACACUGGUAAUUUUUCCAUUGAUCUUUCAUUACAUGCUAUGCAUCUUUUCUCGUUCUUCUUUCAAUUAAAAUCUAGGAGAAACUUCUAUCCAUGUCUCUCUUCUCCCCCAUAUUCCUUUCCUUCUGUCUGCUUCAAUUGCAUGAUCUAUCAUAUGAGUUGAUCUGGUGGGUUGUCCAUGGCAGCGGCACCAAUGAAUGGAUCGCUGUUUCUCCGCUUGAUGAUCCAUGCAAAUCAACCACAAGUGAAGCAACUUCUUCUUUCACAAUUCAUUCUCCAGGCCAUGGAAUCCUUUAAGUAACCCUGUGCGCAUGCAUUUGCAAGCCCUAAACCUUGGAUUGAAGCGACAACUCAAAACCGAAGCAAGUCAUAAAUCAGAAUGAGGGUAACUACUAUUCAGUAAGGUUCUCUCAUCCCCCUCUAUCUAUUGAUGCGCACGUACAUGCAUGGAAAGAAGAUUUCGAGGCAACAUUUUCUGUUUACAUUUGAGGAACAUCUGGUGGUUAAAGAAAGCGGUUGAUGAUGCCACUGUUUAUUCCCUGGGUUAGUAAAAGUAGUUUAUGAUAGCAUUAACUCGGGGUGGCUAUUCCACGACCUAAUCAUGAGGAAGAGAACAUAAUAUGAUGGGUUCACUUCUUCCAUAUAACGAGAGUGACAGAUAAUUACCAAGACGGGG
This 867-nucleotide long non-coding RNA is filed under the name Eucalyptus grandis. RNAcentral's name for it is "long non-coding RNA (EGRA_LNC000586)". The record is from RNAcentral. Lineage: Eukaryota; Viridiplantae; Streptophyta; Magnoliopsida; Myrtales; Myrtaceae.